Molecule: ribosomal RNA, 1400 nt
Filed under: metagenome
Description: SSU rRNA
Rfam family: Eukaryotic small subunit ribosomal RNA
Source: RNAcentral
CGAUUCCGGAGAGGGAGCCUGAGAAAUGGCUACCACAUCCAAGGAUGGCAGCAGGCGCGCAAAUUACCCACUCCCAGCUUGGGGAGGUAGUGACGAAAAAUAACAAUGCGGGACUCUAAGAGGCCCCGUAAUUGGAAUGAGUACACCUUAAAUCGUUUAACGAGUAUCAAUUGGAGGGCAAGUCUGGUGCCAGCAGCCGCGGUAAUUCCAGCUCCAAUAGCGUAUAUUAAAGUUGCUGCAGUUAAAAAGCUCGUAGUUGGAUCUGGGGCUUGAGGUCGCUGUCUAUCGUUUCGGCGAUGACGGUGAUGCUCAGCUCUGCUUGCCGGUGACUGUUGCGGUGUUCUUCACUGAGCGCUGUAGCAGCACGGCACGUUUACUUUGAAAAAAUUAGAGUGCUCAAAGCGUGCUCGUCGCUUGAAUAAUGUUGCAUGGAAUAAUGGAAUAGGACCUCGGUUCUAUUUUGUUGGUUUUCGGAGCUUGAGGUAAUGAUUAAGAGGGACGAACGGGGGCAUUCGUAUUGCGGUGUUAGAGGUGAAAUUCUUGGAUCGCCGCAAGACGGACUACUGCGAAAGCAUUUGCCAAGAACGCUUUCAUUAAUUAAGAACGAAAGUCAGAGGUUCGAAGACGAUCAGACACCGUCCUAGUUCUGACCAUAAACGAUGCCGACCAGCGAUCCGUAGUGGUUGCUUUAUGGACCCUACGGGCAGCCUCCGGGAAACCAAAGUAUUUGGGUUCCGGGGGAAGUAUGGUUGCAAAGCUGAAACUUAAAGGAAUUGACGGAAGGGCACACCAGGAGUGGAGCCUGCGGCUUAAUUUGACCCAACACGGGAAAACUCACCCGGUCCGGACACCGUAAGGAUUGACAGACUGAUAGCUCUUUCUUGAUUCGGUGGAUGGUGGUGCAUGGCCGUUCUUAGUUGGUGGAGUGAUUUGUCUGGUUAAUUCCGAUAACGAACGAGACUCUAGCCUGCUAAGUAGUGUUGCUAUUGUUAUAUGGUUGACACUUCUUAGAGGGACAAGUGGCAUUUAGCCACGCGAAAUUGAGCAAUAACAGGUCUGUGAUGCCCUUAGAUGUCCGGGGCCGCACGCGCGCUACACUGGAGAAGUCAGCGUGUGUUAUCCAAGUCCGAAAGGACUGGGUAAUCCGUUGAACCUUCUUCGUGCUUGGGACUGUGGCUUGGAACUAUUCCACAUGAACGAGGAAUUCCUAGUAAUUGCAAGUCAUAAGCUUGCGUUGAUUACGUCCCUGCCCUUUGUACACACCGCCCGUCGCUACUACCGAUUGAAUGGUUUAGCAAGGUCCUCGGAUCGUGGCCGUAGGGGCACGCAAGUGUUUCUGCGGUUUGCGAGAAGACGACCAAACUUGAUCAUUUAGAGGAAGUAAAAGUCGUAACAAGGUU